This 138-nucleotide unclassified non-coding RNA is filed under the name uncultured Leotiomycetes. RNAcentral describes it as "sequence contains ITS2". Lineage: Eukaryota; Fungi; Ascomycota; Leotiomycetes. The record is from RNAcentral.
UAACCAAUCAAGCUUCGCUUGGUAUUGGGGUGCGCACCCGCGGCCCUCAAACACAGUGGCGGUCUCUGUAGACUCUAAGCGUAGUAAUACUUCUCGCUAUUGGGUUCUGCGGUGGCCUGCCAAAACCCCCAUUUUUCC